Molecule: long non-coding RNA, 219 nt
Filed under: Nicotiana benthamiana
Lineage: Eukaryota; Viridiplantae; Streptophyta; Magnoliopsida; Solanales; Solanaceae
Description: long non-coding RNA (NBEN_LNC014728)
Source: RNAcentral
GGAAACGCACGAGCAACACAGGCUAAGAAUAAGGCAUAACAUACAGCUCUAAUAUUUGGAAAUGUCUACAGCAACUGAAUACAUGAAAUAGAAUUGCUAACUAAAAGGUAGAGUGGAAGGAGACUCAUCGGUCCUGCGGACGCGGCAGAUGCACACCUCAAGUCUCCGGCUGUACGCCACCCUCCAAGGCUGACAAAACUUGAAUGAGGGUACCUGUAU